CCCAGACUCCUACGGGAGGCAGCAGUGGGGAAUAUUGCACAAUGGGGGAAACCCUGAUGCAGCGACGCCGCGUGAGCGAGGAAGUAUUUCGGUAUGUAAAGCUCUGUCAGCAGGGAAGAAGAAUGACGGUACCUGAAGAAGAAGCACCGGCUAAAUACGUGCCAGCAGCCGCGGUAAUACGUAUGGUGCAAGCGUUAUCCGGAUUUACUGGGUGUAAAGGGAGCGCAGGCGGUUCUGCAAGUCUGAUGUGAAAGCCCGGGGCUCAACCGCGGGACUGCAUUGGAAACUGCGGGACUGGAGUACGGGAGGGGCAGGCGGAAUUCCUGGUGUAGCGGUGAAAUGCGUAGAUAUCAGGAGGAACACCGGCGGCGAAGGCGGCCUGCUGGACCGUGACUGACGUUGAGGCUCGAGAGCGUGGGGAGCAGACAGGAUUAGAUACCCGAGUA
Molecule: ribosomal RNA, 446 nt
Filed under: uncultured bacterium
Lineage: Bacteria
Description: partial 16S ribosomal RNA
Rfam family: Bacterial small subunit ribosomal RNA
Source: RNAcentral